Molecule: long non-coding RNA, 6464 nt
Organism: Melospiza melodia melodia
Lineage: Eukaryota; Metazoa; Chordata; Aves; Passeriformes; Passerellidae
Exons: 3
Source: RefSeq, a predicted model, not a curated record
CUGGCGGAGCGCGGGUCCUGACGGACAGCGCCCCGUCCCCCGCCUCCCCAUGGCGGGCAGGCCCGGCCCUCUCCGCCCGCUCGUCCCGGGCCGGGCGCCCUUGCGGCUCGGUGCCCGCUCCCGCUCCGGAGCCGGCGGAGUGCGAGCGAACGCCUCGCUAUCCGGAACGCGCGCCCUCGCAGCCGGCAGGGGAAAGUGUUAGAGAUGUAGCCCGGGCGGAGCAGCGAUCUUCGUUCCGCGGAUUCGUACGGACGGGUUAAUAAGAGUUAAAGCGCGGCUGAGAAAGCUGAGGCACCUGAGAGCCAGGCAGAGCCGGAGGGGAGGGCAGGAGAGCCUUGGCGGAGGAGGAGGGGGCUGAGGAGAUGUCUGCCAUUAGUCAUGUUUAUCCUGACAAGUAGGAGAUCCGUAAGGCAAAUAUCAAAGGCCACGGUAAGCUCGGGAAGUUCAGACUGGUGUGGAUGUUCAGCCUCCCGUUUAAAGACUGCUGAUAACGGUUCUAGAAAUAGCAUCAUCUUCUAGUAGACGCUUUUUUUCUUCUUAAAGAAAAAAGUAUAUCAUCGAAAUGAUAUGCAUUUUGGGAAAGGAGAGGGUAUUAAUUAGAAAAGUUGUUUACUAAUAUAACUUGCCUCCUAGUGCUUUGGCAACAUUGCUUAUGUCUGAAAUAAGCAGAUUUCCCUCCUCCACCUCUUCACCCUUUUUAAUAUAAAAAUGAUAUCUGUAAAACAUGAUUGUAUAAACCAGGCACAAUUCCACCAGUAACCAGGCGACUCGCUCAGGCUGGUUUGUCAUUGUUAAGAAUUAAUAGUAGAUAAUAAAAUAGUGUAUAGCUGUUACAGUUGCUACCAUUGAAAUCAUGUUUUUGAGGGCCAGAGAUUUUGGUGCCAUCAGUAUGUGUUUUUACAUCUAACUGUGUGAAAGUCUCUGCUAGUCUCAAUAAAUGCUGCACAAAUGCUCAUCUUGGUGCUGGAUGAACCAAUGUCAUUUGUUUAUUUCUCCAAGCAUGCAGGGAGAAGGACAAUUCGUGAGAGGUGCUGUCAGUCAGAGCUCUUCCUCUGAAACUAAACUACUGCCGUCCUGCUGCUUACCCUUCUGCAGUGAAGAAGGGUCAAAUUUUAAAGAACUUCGUAGACCUAGAGGCACCAGAAUGUCUUCUAGGGAAAAAACAGGUUCAAGAGGACUAUCAGAUUAUUUGUAUGUAUGUAAACCCUCAAAGCUGUCAAAGCUAUCAGAGAUAUCUGUAUACAAAGCCCAGUGAUCGUGUGUGACCAGAUUUUUAAUUACUGUAAACAAUUUGCCUAUAAUUUUUAUUUUAUUUUUCAUAUUAUUUAGCUAUAAUUUGGUAGUUUGGCAUUGACCAAGACAACUGUGCUGUUCUAUAGCUUGACCUCUCUCCAGGACAGACAAAUAUAUCAACUGCAAAGGGAUAUUAAUGCCAGAGUGUGGUUUUUAUCCUGUGGGACCACAAGGCCAUUGCUAGCUUGGGAUUCAGGCUUGCUGCAGAGUGAGCUCUGGGCAGCCUGGUGAUCAAGUGGUAAUUUCUUUAUCCUUCUCCUAUAACAAAAAUCUUGCUUCAUUUUUUUGAAUAGCAGCAAUUUGAAGGUGCUGAAAUGCUUGCAAUACAGGUGCUUGGAGAUGGAGAUUUUUCAGUCUGCCAGAGGAGAGAAACUAUUUGGACAUCACUGCUUGUAAACAAAGGCAUCUAUUCUCCAAAGCUCUGAGCUCUAAGUGCACUGUGUGAGCAAAUGCCCAUGUCUCUGGAGAUAACAGCAGGAAAUGUAAUCAGCUGUGUCUCAGAGCAAGAGCAACAUUUCCCUCCUGAUCUUGCCUCUGAGAAGUGGUUGUAUCUGCCAGUGUGUUAUCAUUGAUUGCAUGUUUGUCUUCUUGCAGGCACUCCUGGUUUGCUCCUGUGUCAGCAGCAGAUUUCCCCAGUCAAGGUGACCAUGUUACAUUUGAGAUCCCUCAUGAGUGCUGCACUAAUUAACUUUGGUCCUAGAAGGUCAAUGAAAGUGAUGCAGUGGGAUGCUCUUAUUAACCUUAUCCUGAGAGUUACAGUCUGUACUGACACACUUUUGCAAACUCUACUGGGAGAACAAAAAGAAGUGUACUGAAUAAUUCAGCCUUGAGAGUGAAUUGAGCUUGAGGAGAAUUGUUGCAUUCCCAAGUCUGUGGUUUGUGGUUUCUGUUAUUGACUGCUCACAUGGAUUGAAAGUCUUGUCUCUGCAGUCAGUGGUUUUUAUCUCCCCUUCAGAUUCUGCAAUUUUAUCUGGCUAUCCAUCCCUGAACACCAGCUCUGUUCUUGCAAAUAAACACACAAAAACCAUUGAAGGACCUUUCUGCUUCCAAGGGGAGCCAUAGAUAGCCUGCUACACUAAUAAAUCAGAAUUUAACUUUGGAUCUGAAUGUUGAAGAUAGUCCAGUGAAAGUUAAUGGAGUCAUCAUGCUGAGUAUGAGGCACUCUUCCUACUCUCCUCUCCUCACGUGCUGGAAUAUCCAAAUCCUCAGGGAAGGUGAAAGUUUGAUGUCAGAAAAGAACCUCUUGAGAAUGAGGUAUCUUAACUCACCCUGAAAUUGGUUAUUUAUGUUAAAAUGCUUAUGGAAGCCAGACAAUAACAAUAGGAGCUGGUCCUGCAUUUUAUGCAUUGGCAGCCAAUAAGUAAAAAAAUCCAAGUUAAUAUCAUUUGAGAAUUUGUAAAUGCAUAAAAUAUAGAGCCUAUUUUCUGCAAGGUGAAAUGAUGAUGCAAUACCCAUCACUGAAAGUAGCUUGCCCAGAAAAAUGUUAUAAUUGUGAGAAUCUAGCCAGUAUUCAGGACUCUAUAUAAAACCUGAACCAUGCUCAUCAUUUCUUAAAGCCACUGAAUAAAGUAAAUGUUAUUACCUAUAAAGCAUUUUUACCUAGUCCAAAAAGCAGAUUCAUCUGCAGAAAAAAAAAAAUAUAGCCUGAAAAUUGUUGUCACACUGUCUAGUAGAACUUUUAUUUAAUUAACUCUUAUUGACAGUCUCACUGAGUGGUAUAGUUCAUAUAAGUAAAUAUCUGAGCUCAGUCAUAAUGUGGACUGCUGGAAAGCUCUGCUUAUGUGUUUCCACUCAGCUGCUGGCAGCUACAAAUUAACAUUUCCUAACCAAAAGAAAGAAAUUAAAAUGUUUGCUGGUUUUAUGAUGAAUUUUUAAGAAAAUGCUAAGGAAGUAACUUUCAGUGAGGAGGAUAUGGUCCCUUAUCCUUGAACUUUAAGAGAUAACAGAACCUUAACCUAAAAAAGGAAAAAACCCAAACGAAACCAAAGCUUACACCAAAUUCUUAAUAUCCAAGAAAAAAACCCUCCUUUUUGAUUCAUGGAAAAUUAAUGCUUUGUAACUUACAGAUAUAACAUGUGUUUCUGUAGUCAUGGACUUCUUUGAAAGAUAGCUACAUCUAGAAAACAUUUUAAAUUAAUUGACAGGUCAGAUGGGAUCUGCUUGCAAGUGAAACAAAUCCACAAGUCUCCUUGUGGAAGGAUGAAAGUUUUUAUUCCUUUUAGAUCUAUCUUUAGUUCUGAUUAACAUAUAAUCAAAUAAACUGGAGUCCAUCCAGAAGGCAGUUUUAGUUAAAAAUAGUCAGUUAACUGCAUCAAGAAUAUGCUUUCUGCAAGGUAUUCUUGAGGUAGGAAAUAUAGAAAUAGUGUCUGUUCUGGGCUAAAAAUCCCUUUUGCCACAAGCAGGAAUUCAAAUCAGAGUUGUAGCACAUACAUGCACACUGUUUCAAGUGCCAGAACACUUCUGGUUUCAGUUAAAGGGAACAACCCAUGUCCCUAAAGACAGGUGCUUCCCAGUGUGAACCAGGGCUGCCCCUGGAGGUGUAGGGGGAUAGAACAUCAGUAAAUAAAUGUAGUAUAGAAAGCCAUCUUACCCCCUAGAGAGUUGCAGCAGAGCCAGUUAUUAAGGAUUAGGAGCAGGCCUGAUGUUAACAGGCCACAGCUGUAGCCAAUAAGAAGAGUGUCACAAAAGAGUGGGUUGGUUGUUUGUACAGGGAGCUGGAGUCAGUUGGCUGCUGUGAGGACAAGGAAGGGUCAGUGUCUAGAGGAGACGCCUAUGAGAAACAUCAAGGAGGUACAAAACUCUGGAAUGUAAUGACAAUAGAACUCUUGCAGUAUAAUGAACACGUGGAGGAGUCUUGGAAUGCUGCUGUGAGAAUCCUGAGGCAGAAUCCUUUCCUCAAAUCUCUGGCUAAGGAUGACAAACUUACCUUGAAACUGCCCAGCUUUUAUAACAGCUGAUUUGGGCACAGCCUUGCUUCUGGGCAAGGGAAUGACAGGAAUAACAAAUCCCUCUCAUCCAGGUGAAGGAGGAGAGGAAGGAAUCCUGAGGAACAAUAACAAAACCCUCUUAGGCAGGUGAAGGAGGAGAGGAAGGAAUCCUGAGGAACAAUAACAAAUCCCUCUUAUGUAGGUGAAGGAGGAAAGGAAGGGAUUCCAGGGGAACAAUAACAAAUCCCUUUCAUCCAGGUGAAGGAGGGGAGGAAGGAAUCCUGAGGAACAGUGGCAAAUCCCUCUCAUCCAGGAGAAGGAGGAGAGGAAGGAAUCCAGGGGAACAGGAUGCUUUGGCCACAUUGUGGUACCUCGGUGCAAUGUGUGCCAGCCUCCUGCUCCUGUGCAGCCACAGCACCCAGGGCUGGGCAUCAAUCUGCACAAGGACAAAGAGAAUUUUAUGGGAUCUUGGGCAUCUCCCUUCCCAACAGGCUAGCAGACAGCUCCUCUGCCCUACUGCAGUUGAAACACUGGGGGAAUAAAUGAACUGUGCUGCUCUGUGAGAUAUUUUUGAGGGAGAACCAGGUAAGCUGUUUCUUUGGCAGAGGCAUAAUUUAAACUUGUGACUGAGUCCCUUGUGUAAAUGAGUUUUUUCAAUACAUUAUAAACACUUCCAUCAGCAGAAUUGUGUUUUUUUAGAAAUGUAUCUCUUUGUGAUGCUGAGGCAAAAGACGCUGCAGUUUGCUUUAUUUGUUGUAAUAAUAUAACUUAUACCUUAUAACAGCUUUUUCUUCCACCCUGUGAUCACAUCCCCAAACAGCUAGGAGCUAUUUUUCCUUCUCUGAGGAUGUUCUGAUGAAGCUGAUGCUGUGUGGUAGGUCCUGGCCACCUGCUUUACUUGGUCAUGUGAAUGUUUUCCUGAGUCAUACUCCCAAAAUACAUUGUUGCCUAAAUCUAGGGAAAACUGACAAUCGGUAGCAGUUGAACUUUCAUAUUACAGCAGAAUUUGUGUUAAAAAUAAAUCCUCACAAGUGAUUACUUUUUGGAAUACAUGAGUUGCUUGCUAAGAAACCAGGUAAGCACCUAGUUCACUGUGUGAGAAGGGUUUCUCUUGCCAUUAAUUACUCCGGGAACUAAACCCCACACCAAAACACUACAUAGGAAAUUGAGAUUAAUGUUCCAUACUUUUCUGGCUAAAUAUUGUAGCUGUCAAAGAAAUGUUCACCAGCCUAUGUCAGCUGCUGUUAGCUUUCAGAGCUCCUUCUUCUUUAGGCACUGACGUUUUCAGCUCUGUUCAACCCAGGAAUAUCCCUGCAGCCAGAAGAGUUAAGGUUGCUUUAGCAAGGCAGAGGGCACAGGCCUCAUCUAUAAGUUGUUCUCUGGGCCAGAACCUGUGGGAAAAAAUAUUUUCUGUGAUGAAAUUACUCCUGGCCUCACCUUUCCCAAUGUGAUCUAUGUGAGGUGCUGUUUUACUGAAAUCCUGCUGUUCUGGCUGCUAUGAAUUUUGAUUUUGGAACAGUGCCUGCCUUUGGGAGAGGAUUCUGAACAGCAUUCCAGGUGGCUGCUGGAGCCCACCUUUGAGGGGAAAUGUAAAGUGUGGUGCUGGUCCCAGUGUUCCCUAGGGCUGUCUCUGCAGUGGUGCUUGGAGUGGUUGAUGCCAGCAAUCUCCUUGGUCAGUAACAGAGCUAGUUUGAAUUCUGCUGAGGUGUGUGCCUGACUCCAUGGAUUUUGUUUGAAAUUCAGUGGCCUCUUUCCCCCAUAUUAGCAAAUAAAAGGUGAAGAAUGCAUAAUCCACCCUGUACGUGUGCUGGCUAGAGCAGGGUUUGUAUGCUUGUGGGGAGAAACAAACAGAAUGAGUUGACAAUGUGAAGCUUUUGCAAAAAGAGAGAAAUGUGACUCUGCAGUUUAUGGUGAGGAAUAUUGCAUGAAAGACAAAAAACAUAAUUGUUCUGAUUUGAAAUUGCUGAUGCUUCAUCUAACACAAGUUUUGGAUACUGCAGUUUCAGAUAUAGAUGAGUUGAAGAGUCUCCAGAAAAAAAGAAAUGAAACAAAAAAUAAUCUUACAAAGCAAUGAUUUGUAAGCAUUUCCUGUGAGAAAAAGCUAAAAGAAAUAGGCUUCAUAAGCUUUUCUAAAAGAAAAUGAUGUUAUGAUUGUGGAAAAAAUUGUUGGGUUUGUAGUCAGGUUUUCUGGCUUCUUCAAAUAGAAGUUGAGUAUGAUUACACAGAAAAAACAGGGCAAAAUAU